GUUUAACAAAAACAUAGCUUUGUGAAUUAAUACAAAGUGGUGCCUGCCCGGUGAAACUUUAACGGCCGCAGUACUUUGACUGUGCUAAGGUAGCAUAAUCAUUUGGCUUUUAAUUGGGGUCUUGUAUGAAGGAAGAAUGGGGUAAUACUGUCUCUACUAAAUUUAAUAAAAGUUGCUAAUAAGGUGAAAAUACCUUAAAAAAUAUACUAGACGAGAAGACCCUAGGAGUUUAAUAUAUAUAUUUUGUUGGGGCGACACAACAACAUUUAACUUGUUGAAUUAUACUUAUAUAUCGGAUAUUUCAUAUAAAUAUAAGCUACCCUAGGGAUAACAGCAUAAUUUAUUAAAGUUUGUGACCUCGAUGUUGGACUAGGGUAAUUUUAUUAUUAAAAAUAAUAAAAGGUAGUUCUGUUCGAACUUAUUUCCCUACAUGAUCUGAGUUCAAAC
RNAcentral lists this ribosomal RNA (447 nucleotides) under Deroceras reticulatum. RNAcentral describes it as "partial 16S ribosomal RNA". It matches the Rfam family "Bacterial large subunit ribosomal RNA", at positions 1802 to 2616 of the family's 2925-position model. The record is from RNAcentral. Lineage: Eukaryota; Metazoa; Mollusca; Gastropoda; Stylommatophora; Agriolimacidae.